Molecule: non-coding RNA, 106 nt
Filed under: Cupriavidus taiwanensis
Lineage: Bacteria; Pseudomonadati; Pseudomonadota; Betaproteobacteria; Burkholderiales; Burkholderiaceae
Source: RNAcentral
GCCUUGCGCCUGAAAGGGCGACGGCGUCGAGCCGGAGCGGGGUCUCAGCAGAGGUCAUAGUAGUCGGAGGUAGCGCCGGGAAGGCUUGAGUCCGCCGACGAAGGAC